Molecule: ribosomal RNA, 253 nt
Filed under: uncultured bacterium
Lineage: Bacteria
Description: partial 16S ribosomal RNA
Rfam family: Bacterial small subunit ribosomal RNA
Source: RNAcentral
UACGUAGGGUGCAAGCGUUGUCCGGAAUUAUUGGGCGUAAAGAGCUCGUAGGCGGUUUGUCGCGUCUGCUGUGAAAACUCAGGGCUUAACCCUGAGCCUGCAGUGGGUACGGGCAGACUAGAGUGUGGUAGGGGAGAUCGGAAUUCCUGGUGUAGUGGUGGAAUGCGCAGAUAUCAGGAGGAACACCGGUGGCGAAGGCGGAUCUCUGGGCCAUAACUGACGCUGAGGAGCGAAAGCAUGGGGAGCGAACAGG